ACCGAUAACGAACGAAGACCUUAACCUGCUAAAUAAGCCAGGCCGGCUUCCGCCUGGUCGCCGGCUUCUUAGAGGGACUGUCAGCGUCUAGCUGACGGAAGUUUGAGGCAAUAACAGGUCUGUGAUGCCCUUAGAUGUUCUGGGCCGCACGCGCGCUACACUGACAGAGCCAGCGAGUUUUUCACCUUGGCCGGAAGGUCUGGGUAAUCUUGUGAAACUCUGUCGUGCUGGGGAUAGGGCAUUGCAAUC
Molecule: ribosomal RNA, 249 nt
Filed under: uncultured fungus
Lineage: Eukaryota; Fungi
Description: partial small subunit ribosomal RNA
Rfam family: Eukaryotic small subunit ribosomal RNA
Source: RNAcentral